This 464-nucleotide ribosomal RNA is filed under the name uncultured bacterium. Its description in RNAcentral is "partial 16S ribosomal RNA". It matches the Rfam family "Bacterial small subunit ribosomal RNA", at positions 339 to 795 of the family's 1533-position model. The record is from RNAcentral.
CUACGGGAGGCUGCAGUCGAGAAUCAUUCGCAAUGGGCGCAAGCCUGACGAUGCGACGCCGUGUGAACGAAGAAGGCCUUCGGGUUGUAAAGUUCUUUCGCUUGGGAACAAGAGACAUGGAAUAAUACUCUGUGAAUUUGAGGGUACCAGGUAAAGAAGCACCGGCUAACUCCGUGCCAGCAGCUGCGGUAAUACGGAGGGUGCAAGCGUUAAUCGGAUUCAUUGGGCGUAAAGGGGGCGCAGGCGGGAAUGCAAGUCAAUUGUGAAAUCCCAGGGCUCAACCCUGGAAUAGCAAUUGAAACUGCAUUUCUUGAGGACAGGCGGAGAAAACGGAAUUCCAUGUGUAGCGGUGAAAUGCGUAGAUAUAUGGAGGAACAUCUGUGGCGAAGGCGGUUUUCUAGCUUGUUCCUGACGCUGAGGCCCGAAAGCUAGGGGAGCAAACAGGAUUAGAUACCCCGGUAGUC